RNAcentral lists this small nucleolar RNA (125 nucleotides) under Dasypus novemcinctus (nine-banded armadillo). Its description in RNAcentral is "Small nucleolar RNA SNORA68 (ENSDNOG00000029548.1)". It matches the Rfam family "Small nucleolar RNA SNORA68". Rfam says of the family: U68 is a member of the H/ACA class of small nucleolar RNAs (snoRNAs) which act as guides in the the modification of uridines to pseudouridines. The record is from RNAcentral. Lineage: Eukaryota; Metazoa; Chordata; Mammalia; Cingulata; Dasypodidae.
CUUGCACCCAAACGAAGAAUCACAGUUUCUCACAACAGCAGUUUAAACAGUGGUGUGAACAAGUGAAUCUCAUCUCUGGGGGACUGUGUUGUGCCCCCUCAGAGUUAAUGUGAGGUCUUCCUCCC